Molecule: ribosomal RNA, 1548 nt
Filed under: Triticum aestivum (bread wheat)
Lineage: Eukaryota; Viridiplantae; Streptophyta; Magnoliopsida; Poales; Poaceae
Description: partial small subunit ribosomal RNA
Source: RNAcentral
AGGCUCUUCGCAACCAUCUUGGUGCAUUGCGAGCUAGGCGACGUGCGCGGUUUGUGGGAUAGGCACCUCGAGCCUAUGUCAGAUGACUAUCAUCGAACACGCACGUCGCCCAAGGAGGUGGAGCAGUUGGUGUUGCUUGACAUUCGGGCUAUGUUGCAGUCCAUGGGUAAAGACGUUGUUGAUUUCGCUCUUCCAAUCAUCGAUGAUGCGUUUGACCCAACCGAUGGUGAGUGUAGAGAGGUCAUAGAGGAAUCAACCAUUGAGUUUGACAUGGAUGACACUAAAUUGGCAUCUUCCCUAAACUUGGAGCAGAGGGCCGCAUACGAUGAGAUACUGGUGGUUGUUGAACGUGGUGAUGGGGGUGUAUUCUUUGUUGAUGGCCCUGGAGGUACAGGGAAGACCUUCUUAUACAGGGCGAUGCUUGCCAAGGUGAGGAGCGAGGGCAAGAUUGGUAUCGCUACCGCGACGUCGGGCAUCGCCGCUUCUAUAAUGCCUGGCGGCAGGACUGCCCACUCGAGGUUCAAGAUACCACUGAGUUGCGAUGAUGGUGCCUCCUACAGCUUCACCAAGCAAAGUGGGACUGCCAAGCUGCUUAGGAUGGACUCAUUGAUAAUAUGGGACGAGGCCAGCAUGACGAAGCGACAAGCAGUUGAGGCAUUGGACAAUAGCAUGCGUGACAUCAUGGGAAUACGCGACUGACCCUUUGGAGGAAAGACUGUUGUUUUUGGUGGGGACUUUAGGCAGGUGCUUCCGGUUGUCAGAAGGGGGUCGCGGGGCCAGAUUAUUGAUGCAACACUCCAAAAUUACUUGCUUAGGGUCGGCAAUGGUACUGAGGAUGUCGACGAUCAAGGCAACAUACUACUCCCUAAAGACAUUUGUCUGCCUUCUACAGGUGAGGUUGACGACUUGGAGAAGCUUAUUGACCACGUAUUUUUGAGUCUAGAUGACAACAUGUCUAAUUCGAAUUACAUGACAUGUUGCGCAAUCCUCUCCCCCACAAACAACAAUGUCGACAAGAUAAACAUCCGCAUGAUAGAGCGUUUUCAGGGAGAUGAAGUAAUAUACCAUAGUUUUGACAGUGCUGAGGAUGACCCGUAUGGCUACUACGCUCAAGAGUUUCUUAAUGGAUUGACUCCCAACGGUCUUCCUCCGCAUGCACUCAAACUAAAGCUAAACUACCCUGUCAUACUUCUAAGGAACAUUGACCCAGCUAACGGACUGUGUAACGGCACUAGGCUUGUUGUUAGAGGAUUUGAGAGGAACACCAUUGAUGCAGAAAUCGUGAUUGGAUAACACGCUGGCAGGAGGGUCUUCCUUCCUCGAAUACCUCUCUGCCCAUCUGAAAAUGACAUGUUUCUGUUCAAGUUUAAGAGGAAGCAAUUUCCUAUAAGACUUAGCUUUGCUAUGACCAUUAACAAGGCUCAAGGGUAGACAAUCCCUAUUGUUGGUGUCUACCUCCCCAAUCCUGUGUUCUCUCAUGGUCAACUCUAUGUUGCUUUGUCUCGAGCCACCGCGAAGAGAAACAUAAAGAUACUCAUUCAGAAGUAG